This is a long non-coding RNA of Labeo rohita (rohu), 1774 nucleotides long. RefSeq lists it as uncharacterized. Lineage: Eukaryota; Metazoa; Chordata; Actinopteri; Cypriniformes; Cyprinidae. The record is from RefSeq and is a predicted model, not a curated record. The transcript has 3 exons.
AUCUCAUACAGUAAACUGCUACCGCAUUCUAUUUAUGACGAAUUACAUUUUACAAUGUAUUCGCAUAGAGAACAGUUAUUUUAAAUAAACAUUACUGUUUUUAUUUAUGAUCAAAUAAAUGCAGUUUUCUUUGUGAACAUAAGAGACUUAUUUCAAAAACAUAAACAAAACUGACCACAAAUGUUAAUAACACAAGGGAUACAAAUAUUAGUCCAUUUAUUCUAUUAAAGUGCAAGAAGCUCUUAAAAAUAUUAACGUAAACAGAUUUUUUUAUUUAUUUAUUUGUAUUGUAUACCAAGAAUGCAAUGCACAAUGACGUAGAUUGUCUGUCUAUGCUGGAUGCAAACCAGAGCGACCAUUGAAAAUCAUUUGAACUUUGUGUCAGUACAUGGUAAAUAGAACACAGCAUCAGUUUGCUGUCAGGGAUUUGUAGUGUUGUGCUGUGCCUCUUCCAGUGUAGGCAGCAUCGCUGAUUAUAAUAGGUUCUAUCGUAUUAUGUCGUAUGUUGUAUGCAUUUUGCUCACAGUGUUAAAACUGGUAUGAUUCCAUUCAUAGCUAAAACAACUUUUCUAUUUCAGAGACUGAAAAUUGUCAAUAAAACACAAGUGGAUUGAUAGCUCCAACACCAAUUAAGCAGACCUGAGCAGCCGAUCAAGGAUCACCAGAAACUCUGCAGAACUUUGGUCCUCAAUGCCCAGGACUGGAAACCAGAGCUAUGCUGGAGAAAAAGCAGCCAGGCUAAAGCAUUUAAAGUGGAAACUUUUGUCGUGGCUCAAAAAUCCAGGAUUGGGAUGGUGGAAGGAGCAGAAGACCAGAGAUCAGGCAGAGAUCUACUGAUGCCCCUGAGGGAACUGUUUAACUAAUGUGUUAGGUUAAAUCAAAAAUUUUCAGCACUCACCUUCAUGUCUUUCCAAACCUGUAAAAAUUUUGGUCAUCUUUGAAACAUAAAUGUAGAUCUUUUUAAUGAAAUCUGAGAAAUAUCUGUCCCUCUGUUUCACAGUUUAUGCAACUACCACAUUCGAUCCUCAGAAAGGUAGUAAAGACAGCAUUAAAGUAAGCCAUGUGACUCCGGUUGUUUAACCUUAAUUUUAUGAAGUGAUGUGAAUGGUUUAUACGCACAAAAAACAUUGCAUUUUUAUUCACACACAAACAAAAAUCUUAUGGUGCUUUUGUGAAAAUGCGUUGGAGAUACCUAAUGUAUGAAUAAAGACGUAAUUUUGUUGUUGCUGUUUUUUUGCAUACACAAGGCAUCUGUUAAAAAUAUCUUUAUUUGCAGUCUGCACAGAGGUUUCUUAUGGGUUUAGAGUGACAUGAGAGUAAUUAAGUAAUUAAUGGCAAAAUUAGCAUUUGUUUGGGUGAGAUGUGUCCUAAUGUGGUUAAAAUCGGUCAUUGUCCUGUGUUAUAAACAUUUUCAGUAUUUCAAAGAUUAUUUUGAAAAAUCUGUUUCAAAUAAAUACUGCUCCUUUGAAAGUUCUAUUUGAAGAAUACUGAAAAUAUGUUUUCCAAAAAAAAUAUUGGGCAGCACAACUGUUUUCCACAUUGAUAAUAAUCAGAAAUGUUUCUUGAGCAGCAAAUCAUAUUAAAAAUGUUUUCUGAAGGGUCAUGUGACACUGAAUACUGGAGUAAUUAUGAUGAAAAUGUAGUUCACAUGAAUAAAUUACCUUUCACAAUGUAUUCAUAUGGAAAACAUAGUUAUAUUUUAUAAUUUUACUGUUUUUACGGUAUGUUUAAUCAAAUGCAGGCUUAAUUUGUGAUCAGGAAAGUGUUUUUUACU